Molecule: ribosomal RNA, 1477 nt
Filed under: Xylographa lagoi
Lineage: Eukaryota; Fungi; Ascomycota; Lecanoromycetes; Baeomycetales; Xylographaceae
Description: eukaryotic LSU rRNA
Rfam family: Eukaryotic large subunit ribosomal RNA
Source: RNAcentral
GCCUCAGUAACGGCGAGUGAAGCGGCAACAGCUCAAAUUUGAAAUCCGACCUUCCGGUCCGAGUUGUAAUUUGCAGAGGAUGUCUCGGGCGCGAUGCCGGUCUAAGUUCCUUGGAACAGGACGUCACAGAGGGUGAGAAUCCCGUACGUGACCGGCCGUCAACCCCGUGUGAGGCUCCUUCGACGAGUCGAGUUGUUUGGGAAUGCAGCUCUAAAUGGGUGGUAAAUUUCAUCUAAAGCUAAAUAUUGGCCAGAGACCGAUAGCGCACAAGUAGAGUGAUCGAAAGAUGAAAAGCACUUUGGAAAGAGAGUUAAACAGUACGUGAAAUUGUUGAAAGGGAAGCGCUUGCAACCAGACUUGCCCGCGGGUGAUCAGCCGUCCUUCGGGGCGGUGCACUCGCCCGCGAUCAGGCCAGUAUCGGUUUCGGCGGCCGGACAAAGGCCCCGGGAACGUGGCUCCCCUCGGGGAGUGUUAUAGCCCGGGGCGCAAUACGGCCAGCCGGGACCGAGGACCGCGCUUCGGCUAGGAUACUGGCGUAAUGGCUGUCAGCGACCCGUCUUGAAACACGGACCAAGGAGUCUAACAUUUAUGCGAGUGUUUGGGUGUCAAACCCAUGCGCGCAAUGAAAGUGAACGGAGGUGGGAACCUUUCGGGGGGCACCAUCGACCGAUCCUGAUGUCUUCGGAUGGAUUUGAGUACGAGCAUAACUGUUGGGACCCGAAAGAUGGUGAACUAUGCGUGAAUAGGGUGAAGCCAGAGGAAACUCUGGUGGAGGCUCGCAGCGGUUCUGACGUGCAAAUCGAUCGUCAAAUUUGCGUAUAGGGGCGAAAGACUAAUCGAACCAUCCACUGGCUCCGAUAGGAACGAGCAGACCAUCCUCCUGAACUUGGUAUGCUUCAUUCCUUCGCGACUAGGUGGUUAAUUGGAAAUAUACGGAAGUGUAUUUUGUAGUUCGCUUCAGCGGACGAUACCGUCAAAUGUGUGGAUUAGGAGGUCCGUCAGGGCCCCGUAAAACACGCAGCAUCCCGGAUCACUCCGGGCUGUUACAGACCAAACGACGGUGGCCGAUCCACACGACCGGUUUUAAGAUGGCCGAGACCACUUUAUCCGUAAAGGUACGUCCGGGAAAAAAUACGUUGUUUCGAUGGUAACAUCAACCCCAACUAUUUUUUGCCGGACCGGUAUGAUCGCUAGUAGCUGGUUCCUGCCGAAGUUUCCCUCAGGAUAGCAGUAACGUUUUCAGUUUUAUGAGGUAAAGCGAAUGAUUAGAGGCCUUGGGGCAGAAACUGCCUUAACCUAUUCUCAAACUUUAAAUAUGUAAGAAGUCCUUGUUACUUAGUUGAACGUGGACAUUUGAAUGCACCGUUACUAGUGGGCCAUUUUUGGUAAGCAGGAACUGGCGAUGCGGGAUGAACCGAACGUGAGGUUAAGGUGCCGGAAUAUACGCUCAUCAGACACCAUUUCGUGGUGUCGAGCC